UGGGGAAUAUUGGGCAAUGGGGGAAACCCUGACCCAGCAACGCCGCGUGAGUGAAGAAGGUUUUCGGAUUGUAAAGCUCUGUCCUGUGUGAAGAAGAAAGUGACGGUAACACAGGAGGAAGCCCCGGCUAACUACGUGCCAGCAGCCGCGGUAAUACGUAGGGGGCGAGCGUUGUCCGGAAUUACUGGGCGUAAAGGGUGCGUAGGCGGCCUAUUAAGUUUCAUGUGAAAUACCCAGGCUUAACUUGGGGGAGCCAUGAAAAACUGGUAGGCUUGAGUGCAGGAGAGGUAAGUGGAAUUCCUAGUGUAGCGGUGAAAUGCGUAGAUAUUAGGAGGAACACCAGUGGCGAAGGCGACUUACUGGACUGCAACUGACGCUGAGGCACGAAAGCGUGGGGAGCAAACAGG
This 407-nucleotide ribosomal RNA is filed under the name uncultured bacterium. RNAcentral describes it as "bacterial SSU rRNA". It matches the Rfam family "Bacterial small subunit ribosomal RNA", at positions 355 to 776 of the family's 1533-position model. The record is from RNAcentral.